UACAGAGGAGCCAAGCGUUGUCCGGAUUGACUGGGCGUAAAGCGCACGCAGGCGGACGCGCGCGUGGGGUGUGAAAUCUGGCCGCUUAACGGCCAGGCGCCAUCCCAUACGGCGGGUCUGGAGUGAUGCAGAGGGCGGUGGAAUUGCCGGUGUAGUGGUGAAAUGCGUAGAGAUCGGGAAGAACACCAGUGGCGAAGGCGACGUGCUGGGUUGCACCUGACGCUGAGAUGCGAAAGCGUGGGGAGCAAACAGG
RNAcentral lists this ribosomal RNA (253 nucleotides) under uncultured bacterium. Its description in RNAcentral is "partial 16S ribosomal RNA". It matches the Rfam family "Bacterial small subunit ribosomal RNA", at positions 524 to 776 of the family's 1533-position model. The record is from RNAcentral.